CAGCCGCCACGGUAAAACGGAGGGUGCAAGCGUUAAUCGGAAUUACUGGGCGUAAAGCGCACGCAGGCGGUCUGACAAGUCAGAUGUGAAAUCCCCGGGCUUAACCUGGGAACUGCAUUUGAAACUGUCAGGCUGGAGUCUUGUAGAGGGGGGUAGAAUUCCAGGUGUAGCGGUGAAAUGCGUAGAGAUCUGGAGGAAUACCGGUGGCGAAGGCGGCCCCCUGGACAAAGACUGACGCUCAGGUGCGAAAGCGUGGGGAGCAAACAGGAUUAGAUACCCCGGUAGUCCCUGUCUCUUAUAC
RNAcentral lists this ribosomal RNA (301 nucleotides) under uncultured bacterium. RNAcentral's name for it is "partial 16S ribosomal RNA". It matches the Rfam family "Bacterial small subunit ribosomal RNA", at positions 509 to 807 of the family's 1533-position model. The record is from RNAcentral.